AUGAACGCUGGCGGCGUGCCUAAUACAUGCAGGUCUAGCGAACGGACGAGAAGCUUGCUUCUCUGAUGUUAGCGGCGGACGGGUGAGUAACACGUGGAUAACCUACCUAUAAGACUGGGAUAACUUCGGGAAACCGGAGCUAAUACCGGAUAAUAUUUUGAACCGCAUGGUUCAAAAGUGAAAGACGGUCUUGCUGUCACUUAUAGAUGGAUCCGCGCUGCAUUAGCUAGUUGGUAAGGUAACGGCUUACCAAGGCAACGAUGCAUAGCCGACCUGAGAGGGUGAUCGGCCACACUGGAACUGAGACACGGUCCAGACUCCUACGGGAGGCAGCAGUAGGGAAUCUUCCGCAAUGGGCGAAAGCCUGACGGAGCAACGCCGCGUGAGUGAUGAAGGUCUUCGGAUCGUAAAACUCUGUUAUUAGGGAAGAACAUAUGUGUAAGUAACUGUGCACAUCUUGACGGUACCUAAUCAGAAAGCCACGGCUAACUACGUG
This 496-nucleotide ribosomal RNA is filed under the name uncultured bacterium. RNAcentral's name for it is "partial 16S ribosomal RNA". It matches the Rfam family "Bacterial small subunit ribosomal RNA", at positions 29 to 507 of the family's 1533-position model. The record is from RNAcentral.